RNAcentral lists this long non-coding RNA (2498 nucleotides) under Homo sapiens (human). RNAcentral's name for it is "HSALNT0199083". The record is from RNAcentral. Lineage: Eukaryota; Metazoa; Chordata; Mammalia; Primates; Hominidae.
CCUGCCGGGUAGGAAGCCCGGGGAGCGCCUCUCCGCCGCCGCCCGUCGCCCCGGAAGUCGCGCCCUGAGAUUCCGGGCACUUUCUUUUUCUUCUUUGGAAUGGUGUGAUGUCCGCGGUUGUUUUUGUCCUUAUACCUGAAGACGCCAAGCUUUUCAAAAGCCAUCAGAAGGCGCGGCCUGCCACCUGGACAAACGCGGUCUCCCCCAGAGCCCGGUUGCGCCCCGAAGCCGGGUUCCGUCCCAUCUCCGACAAAGACACUUCCUGAUUUGCCCCUCGCCAGACUCCAGCAAUUUUCUGGGUCCCCGGGAAGCUGAUUUCGCCUCUGGGCUUCCAUGAUUAGUGGCAGCUGGAGCGCUGCUCCCCAACCUGGGCCCACUUUAGGGUGUGUGGGGCAGGGAGGAGGGUGGGGUCACUCUUAAUCUCGUGUCACAGCUAAAUAAUUUACUCAAGGUCUUCUCUUCCUGCCAGUUCCCUUCCCUGUUCCACUGCCCUUGACUUCCUGCUUUGUGAAGCCCCGGGGAAAGGCCAACUCUUAAUAAAAGUUAAUAUUAAUAGAGGCCCCGUGCGCCGGGCUUCUCCAACACCUCAUCUUCCCCUCUCACCUCCACCCACUCCACUCAAGCCCCUUUCCUCGGGGAAUUCUUUCAAAACUGGAGAUGGGACUUGUACUUUGGGGUAUAUUCAGGAAACAAGGACGCUUGGGCCACAUUGUGUCUAAACCACAUCCUCCUCCAGUUUCCAUCAGCGCGGAGGGUGGCAAAGGUCGAGCGUGCACUCAGUAGCUGCCACACAGAAGCCGCGCUGGUUCCAAAGCAGUCCAGAGAUAAGGGCGGGGGCCAGCCAGCAGGUUCUGCAGGAGAAAUACCUGCUGGAAAGAACAGGUCGAGCGAUUACCAGAGAGGCGGGGAACAAAAUUUACCAGUGUUCAACAGAUACUUUAAAAAAGGCAACAAACCAAUAUUGUACAAAGAAUACGUAACAGUAUCAAGGUCACUGUUCCCUGAUGUGUGUGCGAAUUCGAGCCUACUCAUUUUCCCAUAGCAAAGUCUAGUUUGGUUUGAGCUAAGGGCUUGGACAAACAAUUCCUUCCAAGAAGGUUAAACAACGCAGAAAUGUGAAAAGAAAAAAGUAACUUCUCCAUCCUUUCAAUUCCAUCCCUCUAUUAACAAUGUUAACACUGUUGGAUGUCAUUUCGAGAAUUUUUCUGUGCUUACACAAAUACGUAUUACAUUUAAAAUCUUGUUCUUUCUUUUCUGUCCUUUAAAAAAAACAAAAAUGAAGUCACACUUUACUUUGUGACUUGCUUUUAUCAUUUAAUAAUAUAUCAUGGAUAUUUCACCAGGUCAUUACACAUAAAUCACAUCAAUUUUUAAAAUGUCUAUUGCAUUAUGUAAACAAAGAUAUAAUUUUAUCUAUUUAUUCAAUCAUUUCUUUUGAAUAUUUACUAUGUUCUAAGUGCUGGGAAAACAGCAGUAAUCAUCACCAUUAAAAAUCCCUAUUCUUGGGAAACUUAAUUCUAGUGGGAAAAAAUUUUAAAUCAAUUUAUUUAACGAUUUCCUUACAGAUGAACAUUUAAGUUGUUGUCAUUGUUUUGCUAUUACAAACCAUACGAAGGUAAGCUUUUUACAUAUACCCUUUUGUAGUUUUGUAUAUUUAAAGGAUAGAUUUCUUAAAUUUGAAAUGGUAGGUCAAAAAAAUGUACAUUUUAAAACUCUAGUAAAGAUAGCCAUUGCUUUCCAAAAAACUUUAGCAAGUCACACAAUUCACAGUCCCGUUGAGUGAGUUUCCCUUUCUUCAUAUCCUCUUUUACCCUAGACAUUAUCUCUUAAAUUUUUGCCAAUAUGAUGGACAGAAAAUGGUAACCAAUUUAAUUUUUUAUUCUGAAAUUAUUAAGCAGGUUGAGCAUACUUCAUGUUUAUUGGGCAUUCGCAUUUUGUCUUCGAUGAUUUUUCUUUUCUAGUAAACAGAACCAAAAGAAAUGGAGUGAGUAUCCCAGCCUUCAUGCUUGAUUUUUAAACUUAAAUUAUUUUAUUUAAGCUUUAAAACAACCAGCAUUCAUUUCUAUGAGACAGAUUCUAAUCUAGGCCUUUCUGACAUCAAACACUGUGUUAUUUCAAACAUUAUUGAGUCUGCUCUCUGAAUAGUGUAGACUUUGGGCCAGGCGCGGCCGCUCACGCCUGUAAUCCCCGCACUUUGGGAGGCUGAGGCAGGAGAAUCACUUGAACUCGGGAGGCAGAGGUUGCAGUGAGCUGAGAUCACACCACUGUACUCUAGCCUGGGUGACACAGCAAAACUCCAUCCAAAAAAAAAAAAAAAGUGCAGACUUUAUAAGUAUAAAGGAAGAGUGAGAAGUGACAAAGAAAACAGUAGAUAGCAAUUAAGGACAUCCUAUCUGAAAUUUAAAAACAAAUAACAGAACGAUGAAAAGUAUUUGCUACAAAAAUGCCAGAAAAUUGCUAACCUAUAAAGAAUCCAAUACAAAAUGAGAAGAAAACAU